GUUGGCAUUAACAGCUGCUUUCUUUGGAAUAAUUGGGUGGCUCUGAAAAGAGCCUUUGGGUUUCCAAACGGGCAGGCACGGAGAAGUUAGGCCCUCUCGCCGCGGAUGCGGCGGGCAAGCUGGAUGUCCUUGGGCAUGAUGGUGACGCGCUUGGCGUGGAUGGCGCAGAGGUUGGUGUCCUCGAAGAGCCCCACCAGGUAGGCCUCGCACGCCUCCUGCAGCGCCAUGACGGCCGAGCUCUGGAAGCGCAGGUCGGUCUUGAAGUCCUGCGCGAUCUCGCGCACCAGGCGCUGGAACGGCAGCUUGCGGAUCAGCAGCUCGGUGGACUUCUGGUAGCGGCGGAUCUCGCGCAGCGCCACGGUGCCGGGCCGGUAGCGGUGCGGCUUCUUGACGCCGCCCGUGGCCGGCGCGCUCUUGCGGGCCGCCUUGGUGGCCAGCUGCUUGCGGGGCGCCUUGCCGCCGGUCGACUUGCGGGCCGUCUGCUUCGUGCGGGCCAUGGUAGGACUUUGGGAGGGACGUCUAGAAGUGAGCCGCCGGCUGCCGGUGCUCUCAUUUAUAAAGGCGAAGU
RNAcentral lists this long non-coding RNA (568 nucleotides) under Dasypus novemcinctus (nine-banded armadillo). RNAcentral describes it as "lncRNA (ENSDNOG00000052190.1)". The record is from RNAcentral. Lineage: Eukaryota; Metazoa; Chordata; Mammalia; Cingulata; Dasypodidae.